Molecule: unclassified non-coding RNA, 148 nt
Organism: Macaca mulatta (Rhesus monkey)
Lineage: Eukaryota; Metazoa; Chordata; Mammalia; Primates; Cercopithecidae
Rfam family: Metazoan signal recognition particle RNA
About the family: The signal recognition particle (SRP) is a universally conserved ribonucleoprotein. It is involved in the co-translational targeting of proteins to membranes.
Source: Ensembl
GCUGGGCAUGGUGAUGCAUGCCUGUAAUCCCAGCUACUCAGGAGGCUGAGGCAGGAGAAUCUCUUGAACCCAGGAGUUGGAGGUUGCAGUGAGCCAAGAUGGUGCCCCUGCACUCCAGCCUGGGCAACAAAGUGAGACCCUAUCUCAA